UGGAAUGGUGAUGCUUUCUUUCCCAGAAGCUAAACAUGCAACUCCAUUACCAAUAUCGUUAAUCCAUGAAUCAAACGCAGCAAUUUCUGGUUGCAUCGAUGUUGAGAAAUCAGCUUGUUUGAGGUGCAUGUUCUGUGUUAGCUUUAGGUGUGUCAGAUGUUCCCACAAAUAUGACGUUUUCAACGAUGCAGAAAUGAUUU
RNAcentral lists this long non-coding RNA (200 nucleotides) under Linum usitatissimum (flax). RNAcentral's name for it is "long non-coding RNA (LUSI_LNC002775)". Lineage: Eukaryota; Viridiplantae; Streptophyta; Magnoliopsida; Malpighiales; Linaceae. The record is from RNAcentral.